GAAUUCAUGAACCAUGUCAGGUCCGGAAGGAAGCAGCAUUAAGUGAAACCUCU
RNAcentral lists this signal recognition particle RNA (53 nucleotides) under Bacillus subtilis. It matches the Rfam family "Bacterial small signal recognition particle RNA", at positions 21 to 71 of the family's 97-position model. From Rfam's summary of the family: The signal recognition particle (SRP) is a universally conserved ribonucleoprotein involved in the co-translational targeting of proteins to membranes. Lineage: Bacteria; Bacillati; Bacillota; Bacilli; Caryophanales; Bacillaceae. The record is from RNAcentral. RNAcentral also lists the same sequence under 1 other name.